UUAAUUUAUAACUCUUAAUUACAUCCAUUUCAACCCAAUGAUUUUAACUCCUGAAAUCUAGCAAAGGACUCCACAGUAGUCAGGAUUCCCAAGGUAAUGAAAAGUCUUUGCUAAUAUAGAUAUCCCUACAGGACUAGUCUGAUUACAUGCUUGGGCAUUAAUUUCAACAAAUUCAACACAAAGCAGAAACUGAAACACUGAUUCCAUAAUGUAACAGAUACAUGUAACUUAGCCUGGGUUUCCUAUUACACUAAGAACAGAUUCCACAAUUCAUUUGAACCAUAGUUCGAUUCAGCCUUUUUAUAGUUCUUCUACUAACAAAUUCCAGAAAUUGGCACUACUAUCUACUCAAAGAGAAAUUUCAAGUAUGAAAAAAGGCAAACACCCAAGACAUGUCGAUUCUAUGUAUUCAUAUGUAAAUUACAACAAGUUCAGCAAUAACCUUAAGAACCAUUCACAAACACAAAUUAAACCUUGACUUCAUUCACCUUAUUCUGCUGGAGUUCAUCAUUUUUACAAAAGUUAGAAAUAUAUUGGAUAUGAAUCAGGAAGAAACAAGUGUGACAAGAAAACUAGGAAUCCGAUUGCUCUUAAAAAAAUAGGGCUACAUUUACAAGCUAGUAAGGCAUAGUAUGCCAUUUAAUCAAGUAAUGCUCUUUUACUUCACAUAUCAAUAGAUUGGGAAAUAACUAGAAAAGAAAAGAAGAUAGAACAAGGAGAGUCAGUAGAAGCAAAACAACACAGCAACAACAAUUCUUAAACAGCACUCAUUUCAAAAUUAGCCGAACCCACCAACAGCUCAAACCAAACUCCACAGAAUCAACUAAACCUUCUAUACUUAGAUUCAAUCCAUUUUAUAAACCUCAAUCAACUAGCACUCAUUUAAAAAUUAGAAAGCUUGAGAAACCAAAAAAAAAAUGGAAAGUGUUUUCUUAAAUUCUGAACCGUUUGUAUUAAUUCAGAUUUUUUUGUCACUUUUUGUUCUAGGUCUAAAAAUCUCCAUUGAGCUUCAAGUAAGGAUGAAUUUAUAGGUCAGGUUUUAAGACUUUAGAAAUGAGCUAAGUUUAGCACCCUAACCCUUUUUAAGGUUUCAUUUUAUGCUUCUUAAUCCCUGAGAUACUGACUUACUUACCAAGUAAGUCCCUUUUUCAGCUUCCAGAAAGCUUCCUAAGGUUGUUACACCCAGAUUCCCUGGGUUAAUUACCCAAAUUAUUUUAGAACCUUGUUAUUACCCCCUAAACCCAAUGGGUCAAGUUGACCGGUUAAUGAAACCAAGAGUGGGUUCAAUUAUGACCCAACGACCCAAAUCAAACUCCCAUUGGGUUAGGUCUGCAAUGGCUUUAAAGCCCAAACAUAGGUGGAAGGAAUCAAAUCAGUCAAAAGGUAAAUACUUGAAAAAUUCAAAGGAAUUAGCUUAUACCAAUCAACUGAUUACACAAAUGAGAAAAAACUAAUCAAGUUAUCCAAAUUGCCCUAAUUAAAUUCACUAGAUGAACAAUUAGAACAAAAACCAUGCCAUUUAGUCAACACAAAUCAAACAAAUCAAGUAAGAUCGUAAAAUAGUCUUGGCAACAAAAGUACAAAAUGAAAAACCAACAAAGACGAAACACACAUAUCCCAAACUUGGCCAAAUAUUUUGUGAAAUUUCAAUUAAGGAAAAAAAAAGGAAAGGAAAGGUACAAUAAAUGAAAAUAGAACAAGAAACAGACCCAAAAAUGAAAUGGAACUCACCGGCUAAACAUGAACUCGAGACCUGACACUCUAACUUCAUCACCAAAUAAGGUUAGUCGCUUGUCCUUUGUCAAACACAAUUGAACAACACUAUUUCGUGACAAAGCCGACUCUGAAAACUAAUGCGGGUUCGAACAAAAAUCAUAUACGCGGAGGUUUAGAUUUAGCUCUUAGAACUUGGAUUUUAGAUUUAAGAUUCAAGCCUCUAUGGGGAGAUUUGAAGGGAAUGUAGUGAGGAUUUCAAACGAGGAGAAUAAAGGGGUUUUGGGGUAUCGAUUUGGUGUCGUUUGGAGGUGCGCCGCCACCGGAGAAAUUGGGCGGCGCUAGUGUUCCGCUUCUUUGAACUAAAAUUUAAAGAGUUUCAAGGGGAUUCGAGUUGAAUGGAUUGGGGAUUUGGGAUGGGGGGUGGAGGAGAUUCAAGCGUGUAUUUUUUGAGGAGAUUCAAGCGUGUAUUUUUUGAGGAGAUUGGCCACCGGGCCGCCGCCGUGGUUGAUUUCCGGCGAGUGGCGUCGGGUAGAGUAAGACGGCGAUGAAUGGGUCUCUAAUGGGUGUGAGGUGAGAGACGAUCAGGGUAGGUGAGUGUUUAGAUACUUUUAUAUUAAACCCUUCCCC
RNAcentral lists this long non-coding RNA (2343 nucleotides) under Nicotiana benthamiana. Its description in RNAcentral is "long non-coding RNA (NBEN_LNC014363)". Lineage: Eukaryota; Viridiplantae; Streptophyta; Magnoliopsida; Solanales; Solanaceae. The record is from RNAcentral.